Molecule: ribosomal RNA, 442 nt
Filed under: uncultured bacterium
Lineage: Bacteria
Description: partial 16S ribosomal RNA
Rfam family: Bacterial small subunit ribosomal RNA
Source: RNAcentral
CCUACGGGAGGCAGCAGUGGGGGAUAUUGCACAAUGGGGGAAACCCUGAUGCAGCGACGCCGCGUGGGCGAAGAAGUAUUUCGGUAUGUAAAGCCCUAUCAGCAGGGAAGAAGAAAUGACGGUACCUGAGUAAGCAGCACCGGCUAAAUACGUGCCAGCAGCCGCGGUAAUACGUAUGGUGCAAGCGUUAUCCGGAUUUACUGGGUGGAAAGGGGGCGCAGGCGGCACGGCAAGCCUGAUGUGAAAGCCCGCGGCCCAACCGCGGGACUGCAUUGGGAACUACCGGGCUGGAGUGCCGGAGAGGUAGGCGGAAUUCCUAGUGUAGCGGUGAAAUGCGUAGAUAUUAGGAGGAACACCAGUGGCGAAGGCGGCCUACUGGACGGUGACUGACGCUGAGGCUCGAAAGCGUGGGGAGCAAACAGGAUUAGAUACCCCAGUAGUC